UAUAUUGAAAAAUAAAUAUAAGAUGGUGUCUAAGGUGGAAGAAAGAAUGAAGAGGAUACAUCAUCAUUAUGAGAGGCAUAACAAAAAACAAGUUCAGAAAGUGAGGAAGUUCAAGAGAAGCAGCUCCAAUGUUGAAGAAGAUGGUGCUUCUUCUGCAAUUCUUUUCCUUGCUUGCAUUGCUUGUGCACCUUGCUAUCUAAUCAUGCAUGCUUUAACAAACAAUUGACCAGCCAAUGGUAUGCUUACACGUGGCACAGAAAAUCUAGAUAAAAGAAUUAAAGUGAAAAUUCAGGUACAGUCGACUUCACGUGAAGUUAAUAAUUGAGAAUCGUUAGAUAAAAAUUUAGUCAAAUCAGUCAAACCAUCUAACGGCUCUCAACUAUCAACUUCUAUCAACUUUACGUAAAAUCGAUUGCACCCGAAUUUCCACCAAGAAUUAAUUCAUGUUUGUAAUUCAAAUGAUAUAGUUUAUAAGUUAAUGUAUAUUUUUGUCUUUGAAAAUUAAGAGUAAAACAAGAUAUAAUUAAUUAAUUAUCCUUGUGAAUGUUUUUAAGUUAUCGUUUUUUAUUUUUCCUAUAA
Molecule: long non-coding RNA, 579 nt
Filed under: Arachis ipaensis
Lineage: Eukaryota; Viridiplantae; Streptophyta; Magnoliopsida; Fabales; Fabaceae
Description: long non-coding RNA (AIPA_LNC002079)
Source: RNAcentral